This is a long non-coding RNA of Trichechus manatus latirostris (Florida manatee), 2077 nucleotides long. RefSeq lists it as uncharacterized. The record is from RefSeq and is a predicted model, not a curated record. NCBI's taxonomy places the organism in Eukaryota, Metazoa, Chordata, Mammalia, Sirenia, Trichechidae. The transcript has 3 exons.
UGAGCCCUGAGAUAUGGUUUGAUGAUCAGACGGUGCAUAGCAAAGUAGACCACCAGAGGCCCCACGGUGGCGUAGAACACAGCACUGGGGAGAAGCUGAUCCGUCAAAUGGAUUGGGAAGAAGUUUCCUAUUCCAAAGGGGAGCUGCUGGGUUUGAAGUAUGUGACAGAAGAAAGGUCCCACUAACUGCUGACCUCAAGGGCAAAGCAAUGGAGCUAAAGCAUUACAAGGUCUUAAGCCUGAAGGCAAGUCCCAGUUGGUACCAUGUGAUGUGGCUGAAACUUGGAAAGAAACCUGCAGUGCUACUAGAUUAAAGAACCAGAGCUCAGAGUUUGGGGCAACCAAAGCAGCUGGAAUGUUGGGGGCCCCCAUAAAAGAGAACCAGAGAUGGGGAGCCUGAACUUCUGUGUGUAAAUGUGGCACAGAUCUCUAGUGGAUCCCUGAUCUAUCAGGUAGCCGAGCUAAGGCUAAAAUAACUACUGAGAUUUUGACUACUGCUCAACACAGGUGAGUCAGGGUUUGCAAUUUUGAGUUCAACUUUAUAAAAUGAAAAAUCAAUACUCUUUGGAGAAACAUAACAAAUACAGUCUUUACAAUGUGUCAUUCAUAAUAUCCAGACUAAAAUUCCAAACUAUUCUACAUACAAGGAAACAGGAAGACAUGACUCAUACUCAAGAGAAAAAGAUAAUCAGAGACCAACUCCAAGAUGAUCCAGAUGCUGGCGGCAGCAGAUAUGGAUUUUAAAGCAGGUAUUAGAACUAUGGAAAGGAAAACAUACUUGUAAUGAACGAAAAGAUUUAUGAAAUCUCAGCUGAGAAACAAACUAUAAAAAGAAUCAAAUAGAAAUUCUAGAACUGAAAAACAGUAUCUGAAUGAAAUAGUCAUUGGAUGGGUUUCAGAGCAGACUCAGAUGAGAAAAGAGUGAACUUGAAGAUAGAUCAAUAAAAAUGAUCUAAUAUGAAGAACAAAGAGAAAAAGGACUAAUGACAAAUGGACAGAGCCUCAUAAACCUGUGGGACAACAUCAAAAGGUUUGCCAUACGGUUAAUGAGAGACCCAGAGAGGAAAGAGAAUGGGGCGAAAAAGAUAUUUGAAGAAUUUAUGGUUUAAAAAUUCCAAAUUUGAUGUAGGACAUAAUUUACAGAUGCAGGAAGUGUAAAACAUAACGAAAACUAUGUCUAGGUCCAUCAUAGUCAAACUGCUGAAAAGCAAAAAUAGAAAAUCUUGAGCAGCAAGGGAAAAUAAAGACAUAUUACAUACAGGGGAAAAAUGAUUCCAAUGACUACUGACUCCUCAUCAGAAACAAUGGAGGCCAAAAGGCAGUACAACAGCAUCAUUAGAGUGCUGAAAGGAAAGCAAAACAAAACAACAAAAACCUGUUAACCCUGAAUUCUAUAUCCAGUGAAAAUAUUCUUUCAGAAUAAAAGCAAUUCCAGAAUUUAUAGCAAAUACUCAAAACUCAAAAAUAAGAAAUCAAACCCCCCCAUAAUAAGAUAGAUAAAAGGUAUGAAUAGAUGCUUCAUUAAAGAACAUAUAUGAAUGGCAGAUAACAACGUGAAAAGAUGUUCAACAUCACUAGAUGUUACGGAAAUGCAAAUCAAAACCACAAUGAGAUACACCUAUAUACCUACUAAAACAGUGAAGAAAAAGAAACAAAAUUAACUGUACCAAGGGUUGGUGAGGAUAUGGAGCAAAAAGAAUUCUCAUAAGCUGCUGGUGAGAAUGUAAAAUGAGACAACUGCUGGAAAACAGUUUGGCAGUUUCUGAUAAAGUUGAACACACACUUACCUAUGACCCAGCAAUUCCACUCCUAGGUAUUUACCUAAGAGAAAUGAAAACUUAUGUUCACAUAAAACCUGUAUGUGAAUGUUUAUAUGGUGAUUAUUUGUAAUCACCAAAAACUGGAAACAACUGAAAUGUCCUUCAACUGGUAAACAGAAAAACAAAUCAUGGUACAUCCGUACAAUGGAAUACUACUCAGCAGUAAAAAGCAACAAUAUAGAUGAAUCACAAAUGUAUUAUGCUCAGUUAAAGAAAACCAAAAACCAAACCCCUUGUCGUUGAUUGAUUCUGACUCAU